RNAcentral lists this long non-coding RNA (870 nucleotides) under Sorghum bicolor (sorghum). Its description in RNAcentral is "long non-coding RNA (SBIC_LNC000073)". The record is from RNAcentral. Lineage: Eukaryota; Viridiplantae; Streptophyta; Magnoliopsida; Poales; Poaceae.
UCCACUCUCUUCCUUGAUCCUUACCAUCGUGUCACGGCAGCGCAUCCAUUUGCCUCGCUUUAGUUUUAUCAGGACUUGUUUAGUUCUAUUUUUUUUUGCAAAAUCUUUCAGAUUUUUUGUCAUAUCGAAUUUUUGAACGCAUGCAUGGAACAUUAAUUAUAUAAAAAAUAAAAACUGAUUACACAGUUCAUCUGUAAUUUGCGAGACGGAUUUUUUGAGCCCAGUUAGCCCAUGAUUAUACAAUAUUUGUUAAAUACAAACGAAAGUGCUACAAUGUCCAUUUUGCAAAAAAAAAUAAAACUAAACAAGUACUAGCACCACCCGACACCCGUAGUAGGAUUGGCAGUGAUGAUCUAAUUUUUUUAUUUUAAUACUGUAGCAUUUUCAUUUUUAUUUAACAAAUAUUAUCCGAUCAUGGAGUAACUAGGUUUAAAAGAUUUGUUUCGCAAUUUACAGGCAAACUGUGCAAUUAGUUUUUGUUUUCAUCUAUAUUUAAUGCUCCAUGCAUGUCUCGCAAGAUUCAAUGCGAUGGAAAAUCUUAAAUUUUUUUUAUUUUUGGGGUGAACUAAACAAGGCCUUAUAACCGAUAUAAUAUAAGGCCCCGUUUGGUUGAAGAUGAUUUUUUAUCACCUAUCACAUUAAGGCCUUGUUUAGAUGUGAAAUUUUUUUGAUUUCGGUACUGUAGCAUUUUUGUUUGUUCGUAGUAAAUAUUGUCUAAUCAUAGACUAACUAGGGUCAAAAGAUUCGUCACGUGAUUUACAGGCAAACUGUGUAAUUAAUUUGUAUUUUCGUCUAUAUGUAAUGCUUCAUGCAUGUGCCACAAGAUUCGAUGUGACGGGGAAUCUUGAAAACUUUUUGGUUUUGUGGUGA